UGGGGAAUAUUGCACAAUGGGCGCAAGCCUGAUGCAGCCAUGCCGCGUGUAUGAAGAAGGCCUUCGGGUUGUAAAGUACUUUCAGCGGGGAGGAAGGGAGUAAAGUUAAUACCUUUGCUCAUUGACGUUACCCGCAGAAGAAGCACCGGCUAACUCCGUGCCAGCAGCCGCGGUAAUACGGAGGGUGCAAGCGUUAAUCGGAAUUACUGGGCGUAAAGCGCACGCAGGCGGUCUGUCAAGUCGGAUGUGAAAUCCCCGGGCUCAACCUGGGAACUGCAUUCGAAACUGGCAGGCUAGAGUCUUGUAGAGGGGGGUAGAAUUCCAGGUGUAGCGGUGAAAUGCGUAGAGAUCUGGAGGAAUACCGGUGGCGAAGGCGGCCCCCUAGACAAAGACUGACGCUCAGGUGCGAAAGCGUGGGGAGCAAACAGG
RNAcentral lists this ribosomal RNA (429 nucleotides) under Chloroflexota bacterium. RNAcentral describes it as "Chloroflexi bacterium partial 16S ribosomal RNA". It matches the Rfam family "Bacterial small subunit ribosomal RNA", at positions 355 to 776 of the family's 1533-position model. Lineage: Bacteria; Bacillati; Chloroflexota. The record is from RNAcentral.